UCGGCGGGCGCGAGACGCGAGACAAGGUACAACUCGUAAACACCAAAUUCUCGCGUGUACCGAGUCGCGAAAUUUCGAGGACUUUUUCUAUUAACUAGCGACGAUCACGUGGUUCGAAGAUCCUUUGUCUUCAAAGCUUCUACAACGUUCCACCGAGUUUACGUGGUCGAGCAAGGCACGAGCCGAAAUCACUUUUUCUCGUACAGUCGCGGUGAGCGCGAGAUUAAGCCGAGCGAACCGUUUAAGAGUUAGAGUGCGUACCCAGUAGUAUUGUAAUACGAAGGAAGCGGUAGCCAAAACUCGGGUCGUUCGUUAAAUCGGUUUUAUAUAUUAACCUCAUAUUUAAUUAAUUUAUUUAGUUUUAUUUCCUUUCGUUUAUUUCCGCUAUUAGAGUUUCGCGUUUAAUUAAUUGCUAAUCAUCUUAAAAUCAUCUUCGCGUGUGGUGUGCUUCUCUUUUCAACAGGUUUUCCGAGCAAAAUCGAUAUAUAUUGUAAGAAGGAAGGAAGCUUAGGGUAGUUCGAAGAGUGGCUACAAUUCGAACCAUUCGAAUUAAAAAUAAGAAUAAGUAAUACAUUUAUAAUUCUGUCCACAAAGCGUUAUGAAAUCGUUAGAAUGGACAGUUGGGCGACAAAGGGAUUCAGUGAUAGGAUUUAUCGUAGACAAUUUAUCUUCGGCUUUGUCAUCUAAACCACAAGGAAUAAUUCUUGAAGGAAGUGCGAGGCAUUUGGUUACAUUUGGUUACAUUUGGUACAAAACCUUGCACGGUUGUAAUUUGCAUUAUAAAACGUGCACGAGCAGGCCAGAGACGUUCGAAAUUCGUAUCUGGAUGAAAAUUACGAAUAACGACCGGAGGAUAAAGAAAUUAUGAUUGAUACGAUGGACAGGCUGUUAGAUGCGAAGAGUUCGAUAGUUAACUCGAUUUUCUGGAGAACCAUGCCCUCUUCUAGAGUCAAUACGUUUCUCAGGAAGAGUCGUUAUUCCUCUCUAAAAUAUGUAUCACUAGGAACCGCAUUUAGUCGACGAUAAGGAAUAAAUAAAUUGUUACUGUCAUUGGUAUCGGCUCGUUUAAUUUUAUUCAUUCUCGUCGCGAAUAUGUAAACGACAACGUUAUUUUUUUACGUACGCUCGCGUGUCGUAUUUCUGCGAUGUAUUACGAGAUGCACGAUGCGUGUUACGUGGCAUGUAUCAUGAAAAGAAAGCGUACAAAGAUAAUGCACUGUACUCGGAAACUGAAAGUCAGCGUUGACUAAUAAAAAAUUGUCCGUCAUAUCCCAAGAAUAUCCAACAUUAUCGAUACGCUCGAAAUAUAUUUCGAUGCAUUGAAAAUACAAAAUAAAAAUAUAAUUCAUCCGUAAUUGAACAAAAACAAAUGUAUCUUUCAUAUGACAGUGCUUACUAAUAAAGAUUUGUUCAUAAUUCGCGAGGAAGAUUCAAAAAUACUUUUCGAGGCAGUGAUGAUAAACAAUAAAAAUAUAAUUUGUCGACAAUUGAACAAAAACAAAUGUAUCUUUCAUAUGACAGUGCUUACUAAUAAAGAUUUUUUCAUAAUUCGCGAAGAAGACGUAGAAAUAUUCAUCGAGGAAUUGAAACUUAAAAAUCAAAAUAUAAUUUGUCGACAAUUGAGCAAAAACAAAUGCAUCUUUCAUAUGACAGUGCUUACUAACAAAAAAUUAUAUUUCAUUCGCGAAGAAGAUCCAGAAAUAUUUUUCGAAGCGUCGAAAAUAUAAAAUAAAAAUAUAAUUCGUUCACAAUCGAAGAAAAACAAACUUCUCGUAAUAUACAUGCAACCUUUACGUAACGCAUGGAAAAUUUGCUUGUCCAAUGAAUAUUUUAUAAAUCCCCUGGAACUAUAGUAGCAAGCGAAAUGACUGCAAAUCUGAUUUAUUCGGGACGUUGGUUCGAAUAAUGCACGAGUCCGAUUUCAACGCACGUUUCAGUCCACAUUUUCGAAGAACGUCAUUCUCAUUUCCACCUCUCCGACAACGAAGCCAGCGUUGAAUUCGUUGCUUCGACUCCUCGAGCGGAUCGACUGCUGUUCUCUUUUCACGGAGACGCGCAGUAGGUCACGUACGGUUAAAAAGGAUAAUUCAUCGUGGUCGUUCGCCGCGUGGACGUGGUUCCUGGGCGCUUUCGGCACGGUCCUGCUUUGACGUCAUCGAAUGACGUCAAUUCCAGGCCCCGCCGCGUCGCCCCUCGGUUCUACCCACGCGUCGCGCUUUAUCGCUCCAACGCAAGAAGACAGCAGCCGUCAACCUCCGUCACCUCAACCCUCGAAGACUCCUACGACGCCCGAUACGGUUAAACGAGCGAGAUUUACGAAAUGCCACCGCUAUGUUCUCCGACCAGCCAUCUCCAAAUAGAACUGGAGAAUCAACCUGAAAUAACAGGGGGUGUGGGGGGGGGGGGGACGCGUGGACGUUUUCCGCGGGAGACGGUAAGGAUAAUAAUGCCACGGCUGGGAGCCGCGUACGUCGCGGGCCACACACUGGGAAACCUCUUUUGGGGGGAAUUGGUCACGAUCAGCCGUAAUUUAUUCGAAGAAUGGGCGACGAAUGAAAUCGCCCAAUUGAAAUUUAUUCGCGACGAUUAUUCAUUUUAGAGAAGACGUUUGGAUUCGUUGGGCUUUCUUUUUUAUUUAGAGGAGAAUGGUUGUUCAUCCGUUAUUCGUUAUUCGUUAUUCUUCAUACUUCACUCCUCAUUCCUUAUUCCAAAUCGACACUUUUAAACAGUGAUGGGCAAAACCCUAGGCUUCGAAUAAAUCUGAAGUUUGCCGAUAUGUUUGUCUCGUUUCUUCUUUUGAAUAUUUUCGAAAGAAGAAACGAGACAAACAUAUCAGCAAACUUCAGAUUUAUUCGAAAUCUAGGGUUUCGCCCAUCUCUGCUUUCAAAUACUCUUUACAGUCCUAUAGAAUAAACAUACACAUGGUUAUAGAUCGACCAGGCAUGGGUGAUGUUUUAUUCGAAUAAAACUAAUCAAUUACAAUUUAUUCGUGUCGUUUAUUCAAUUUAGAUAUUUGUAUUUAUUUGGUGUAACACUUUUAAAGAUGCUAUAAAGCCAUACAGAAUAAAUAAUGGUACGAUCAUACAUCAUUACAGACAUAGACAACGUUGCAUUUGAAUAAUGUCUAUGAAUGAAACCAAUCAAUUUCAAUUUAUUCGUGUUGAUUGUGCGCUCGAAACAUUAGCAUUUGUUUGUUGCGAAAUGAACCAUUCCAUAGAGCUCGUUUUCAUUUUCAAUUUCAUCCAUAGAGAAACCAUUAUCUAUUGUUUAUUCGUUAUUCGAAAUGGACCACUUUAAUAACACCACACAGUUAUAUAAAAUAAACACAGAUAUAACUCGUCCACGUUAUACUGAUAAGUAAAGAAUAAACCCCUGAAGUCUAGAUUCUUAUUUCGUAUACAAAUGUCAUAAAUGUGGGAAGUAUGAUAUAGUAGACUAAGUAUAGCACGGCUGUUUUAAUCGAACGAUGAUUUAGACGUCCACUUGCAUCGCCCCAUUGCAUGCAUGAACAGCCGUCUGACUACAUACGGUCUGAGUAGUUACGUCCAUUCAUCGACAGACGAGUCUCAGACAGCCGCGCCAGUACUGUGAUUCCCUAAUUAUUUUUGCCACAGUGUUAACAACUGCCACUCUUUGUAUACCUAUUUAAAUCGUCUAGCACAGUGUAUAUAAUUAAAUACUUUUGUUGAAAUAAAUCCAGAUAUCACGAAUUAAAUAAAACUAUUUGCAUUUUGUAAUCGUUAGACCGAUCAGCGAUUUACAGCGAUAUAAUCUUGCUCGGCGUAGACAGAAAUUAUUUCCUGCUCGAAUAAUUCUUUCAGCAUAACGCGCGUUUGUUGUUAUAGUGACUUCGACUGUAGUUAAAAUCUCUAUUUUACGAAUUUCGUUUCUUUCUUUAGAACGUCGGAUAUUUACUGUACCCUAAUUUACGAAAACCGUGAAAUCCGUGGAAAGAUGUUGUCUUGUUCCACGAAAAUAAAUCUUCAUACACUCAUUAACCUUGCGUUGGGCCUCCUAUUCUUUAAAGUUGUUAUUCUAAGCUGUUGCACACACUCUGCCAUAAUUUAUCCCGGAGGGAAAAUAAAAAGACGUGCUGACGGGAUGCUGGAACACGAAGCAACGACUAUUAAUCGUGAUCGAAGAUCAACAUUUCACGAAUAUUUCGCGUCCACUCGGAGAGUUUAUUAUCUAUUUUUAUGUUCUCUGAAAAUGAUACAAAGAAAUCGACGUUACAAAAUUUCAAUUGAAUUUAUUCGAUUCUAUAGUUAAAUUUGUAUUUAUUUACAGUUCGCUGUAUUUACAGUAUGAAAAAUCUGUAAUUAUAGAAACCAUAUCGAAUCCUUUAGGUUUCUUUCCGGAGACGCCUUGAAAAUGGAUAAUUCGAAAGUAUGCGAAUUGUUGCAGUCGAACGGGGAUGUCUCGGAGAGUUCGGAUUGUUCAAGCAGUUUCUUGCGAAAUGUCCAGGAUAGUACGAAGUCUCGAGCAUCUCGCGAUUCAAAUUCGAUAUUCCAAAUAUUCGCACACGCUCGGUUCUCACGCCUACGCCCGUAUGUAACAGUUUCUAUCUCGUCGGAGAGCACAAGGUGUCUUGAGAUUUAUUUCUGUCUCGCUUUAUCCAAAUUUACGUCACAACAAUGUCUCAAGGAUAUUUUAGAUAAAACCAACGGUGAGCGGCUUCUAAUUUACGAAAUUAAAAAUACUUUUCGCCAGGAACACAGACAUUUGACACAAGAACACUUGUCACUAAUUAUUAGGCGUGGAGAUCAAUUAUGUGCCUUGGACAUUUUAAGUGAAAAUAUUUAAUCGUCAUUUUGUUAUGUUAAAGCACCAACCUUGUGGACAUUUCCUCAACUUGAUGGACAUUUCAGUGGAUCUACAUGUAUGCAUAAUUCUUGUUCUUCUAAUAGAUCGCAAGUAUACUUGACAAUUAUUAGGUGUAGAAAUUAAUUAUGUGGCUUACAUUGUUAAGUAAAAAUAUUUAGUCAUUUUGUUAGGGUUAAGCACAAACCUUUUAGGUUCUCAACCUGAUGGACAUUUCAAUAUUUCUAAAUAUAUUAGCCAAAAUUAAAUUUUGUCGGACUUCCCUUCCAAAUUAAUCGAUGAGUUUGUUUUCGAAGGUACAGAAUUAAUUUCCGCAUCUAAUAUUAUACAAUUUUGGAGUGCAACGCAAAUGAUUCGACUCUCCCCCGGGACCACGAAAUUAAAAUAUUCGAAAUCGAUUAUUAUCGGCUAAAUAUGACCAGGAAACGAUUCUAUUAUUUUCCCUGUCGUCUACGUUUACUGAUCAAAAAUGUAAGCAUCGUAAAUAUUCCAUCCACACACGGCUAUCAUUGAAUUGGCAAACUUCUUCGACAGAAGCGGAUUACCCGAGACCUUUAACGGCUUUUAAACGUAUAUAACGUCAGAGUAUCGUUACGCGCGUCAGAACAGGUAGUUGCAAUGACGCGCAUGAGACGAGAAGAGACGAGAUUUCUACGAUCUCGAUCUUGAUCUCGAAAAAUCUCGACACAUCCAUAUCGAUCUUGAAUUUUCAACAAUUUCGAACAUAUGAUCUCGAUCUCGAUCUCGAUCUUGAUCUCGACGAGAUUUUGACAAGAUUGGCAAUACAAGAUUUUCAAAGCCUCUGUCUGACUCUGUUAAUCAAUUAUUUGAAUUAAGAGGGAUGAAGGUAAAUGGAAAUCACUUCAUGACGCGAUCGUGUAACUGGACUUACAGAGUCAGUCCCGUUUCCUCCUGGUGGAUAGUUGGAAUAACUGAAAAUUAAUUUCUGACAAUAGUUACAUUAAUUAUUAACAAUAUUUGAUGAAGCAAUGACCGAGAAUAUGACUUUGCUGUAAUAUUACACCGCCCGGACAGUGAACCUUCGUAUGUGGACGACCUAAUAGUUUUCGAAAUAUUGGACCUCAUAAGUUUUGUCCCGCUAGAUCUCUGAAAUAUCACACUUGUUAUAAUAUUAACAAAAUUGUAUGUGGCAUCGUUUGUUAGCGCAGCAGUCACGGCGUCAUAUGUGCUGGCGAUCGGCAAUAUGAAAUAAUCUUGAUCUCGGCCAAAUCUCGAUAUGCUGAAUCUCGAUCUCGAUUUCGAAUGUUACAAGUAAUCUCGAUUUUGAAUUGCAUCUCGAAAUCGAGACGAGAUCGAGACGAGAUCGAGAUUGAUCUCGUCUCGUGCGCAUCACUAUGUAAUUGUAUCGCGCAAUCGUCAGAAACGGACGAAAAGAUUACGCGAAUGAUCGAUCGCGAUAACGAUAAUGACGUAGACGCGAGCGAUUUCAUACCUUGGAC
Long non-coding RNA from Hylaeus volcanicus, 6281 nucleotides. RefSeq lists it as uncharacterized. NCBI's taxonomy places the organism in Eukaryota, Metazoa, Arthropoda, Insecta, Hymenoptera, Colletidae. The record is from RefSeq and is a predicted model, not a curated record. The transcript has 4 exons.